Molecule: ribosomal RNA, 449 nt
Filed under: uncultured bacterium
Lineage: Bacteria
Description: bacterial SSU rRNA
Rfam family: Bacterial small subunit ribosomal RNA
Source: RNAcentral
UCCUACGGGAGGCAGCAGCAGGGGAUAUUGCGCAAUGGGCGAAAGCCUGACGCAGCAACGCCGCGUGGGGGAAGACGGCUUUCGAGUUGUAAACCCCUUUUCUUGGGGAAGAGGAAGGACGGUACCCAAGGAAUAAGCCUCGGCUAACUACGUGCCAGCAGCCGCGGUAAGACGUGGGAGGCGAGCGUUAUCCGGAAUUAUUGGGCGUAAAGGGCGUGUAGGCGGCUCUUUAAGUUCUUGGUGAAAUCUCCUGGCUCAACUGGGAGGGUGCUAGGAAGACUGGAGGGCUUGAGGGCAGCAGAGGGGGGUGGAAUUCCCGGUGUAGUGGUGAUAUGCGUAGAUAUCGGGAGGAACACCAGUGGCGAAGGCGGCCCCCUGGGCUGUACCUGACGCUGAGGCGCGAAAGCGUGGGGAGCAAACAGGAUUAGAUACCCGAGUAGUCCAAGCCG